This 563-nucleotide small RNA is filed under the name Pan troglodytes (chimpanzee). RNAcentral's name for it is "processed transcript". The record is from RNAcentral. Lineage: Eukaryota; Metazoa; Chordata; Mammalia; Primates; Hominidae.
GCGCAGAGCGCGGAGGAGCCGCGAGCGCUGAGGGGCUGUUGCAGAUAUAACUGGUGAAGUUGAGGUCAUGCUGGAGUAGGAUGGGCCUUGAAUCCAAUAGGACCGGUGUCGUUAUAAGAGAGGAGAUGGACACAUGAAGACAGAGACAUACGGGGAUCAGACAGUCAUGGGCGGUGGAGGAAGAGAGUGCGGCGACGCAUCUCGGAGCCACAGGACACCUAGAAUGGCCGGCAGCCGGUGGGAGCCGGGAGAGGCAAGGACGGAUCCUCUCCUCCCGGCUUCAGAGGGAGCCCGGCCCUGACCACACCUCGAUCUCAGACUCUGACCUCCAGAACUGCGAGAGAAGAAAUCUCAGUUGUUUUAAUGUAUGCAGCUUGUGGCACUUUGUGACAGCAGAUACAGCAGUACUGUGACAACACUAGGAAACGAAUACACCACCCCAGCAUCUCCGCUCUGUUUUCCAUACAGAAUUGAACUAAGGACCAGGCAAGCUAAUGCAAGUCCAAACACUGUAAAAACUUUGGAGGCAAUCUAAGGAUGUGAGCCAGAUUUGUUUGCCAGAU